RNAcentral lists this ribosomal RNA (757 nucleotides) under Rodentibacter pneumotropicus. Its description in RNAcentral is "bacterial SSU rRNA". It matches the Rfam family "Bacterial small subunit ribosomal RNA", at positions 44 to 785 of the family's 1533-position model. The record is from RNAcentral. Lineage: Bacteria; Pseudomonadati; Pseudomonadota; Gammaproteobacteria; Pasteurellales; Pasteurellaceae.
GGGGCUAUCAUGCAGUCGAGCGAACUGAUUAGAAGCUUGCUUCUAUGACGUUAGCGGCGGACGGGUGAGUAACACGUGGGCAACCUGCCUGUAAGACUGGGAUAACUUCGGGAAACCGAAGCUAAUACCGGAUAGGAUCUUCUCCUUCAUGGGAGAUGAUUGAAAGAUGGUUUCGGCUAUCACUUACAGAUGGGCCCGCGGUGCAUUAGCUAGUUGGUGAGGUAACGGCUCACCAAGGCAACGAUGCAUAGCCGACCUGAGAGGGUGAUCGGCCACACUGGGACUGAGACACGGCCCAGACUCCUACGGGAGGCAGCAGUAGGGAAUCUUCCGCAAUGGACGAAAGUCUGACGGAGCAACGCCGCGUGAGUGAUGAAGGCUUUCGGGUCGUAAAACUCUGUUGUUAGGGAAGAACAAGUACAAGAGUAACUGCUUGUACCUUGACGGUACCUAACCAGAAAGCCACGGCUAACUACGUGCCAGCAGCCGCGGUAAUACGUAGGUGGCAAGCGUUAUCCGGAAUUAUUGGGCGUAAAGCGCGCGCAGGCGGUUUCUUAAGUCUGAUGUGAAAGCCCACGGCUCAACCGUGGAGGGUCAUUGGAAACUGGGGAACUUGAGUGCAGAAGAGAAAAGCGGAAUUCCACGUGUAGCGGUGAAAUGCGUAGAGAUGUGGAGGAACACCAGUGGCGAAGGCGGCUUUUUGGUCUGUAACUGACGCUGAGGCGCGAAAGCGUGGGGAGCAAACAGGAUUAGAUAC